GAUGAAGAACGUAGCGAAAUGCGAUACUUGGUGUGAAUUGCAGAAUCCCGUGAACCAUCGAGUCUUUGAACGCAAGUUGCGCCCGAAGCCAUUAGGCCGAGGGCACGCCUGCCUGGGCGUCACACGUCGUUGCCCCCCCAUCUACUCCUUCGGGAUUGCGGGGGGCGGAUGAUGGCCUCCCGUGCGCCUCGCCGCGCGGUUGGCAUAAAUGCCAAGUCCUCGGCGACGCACGCCACGACAAUCGGUGGUUGCGAAACCUCGGUUGCCCGUCGUGUGCGGUCGUCGCGCAUCGAGGGCUCGAAAAAAUUGCCGGGUUCCGGCUCGGCUUUCAACGCGACCCCAGGUCAGGCGGGGUUACCCGCUGAAUUUAAGCAUAUCAAUAAGGGAGGA
RNAcentral lists this unclassified non-coding RNA (390 nucleotides) under soil metagenome. Its description in RNAcentral is "partial contains 5.8S ribosomal RNA, internal transcribed spacer 2, and large subunit ribosomal RNA". The stretch from base 1 to 122 matches the Rfam family "5.8S ribosomal RNA", at positions 35 to 154 of the family's 154-position model. The record is from RNAcentral.